GUCUACAGCCACACCACCCUGAACGUACCUGAUCUUGCCUGAUCUCGGAAGCUAAGCAGCGUUGGACCUGGAUAGUACUUGGAUGGGAGAGAUAAGAAACUGACAAGAUGAACACA
Molecule: ribosomal RNA, 116 nt
Filed under: Prolemur simus (greater bamboo lemur)
Lineage: Eukaryota; Metazoa; Chordata; Mammalia; Primates; Lemuridae
Source: RNAcentral